Molecule: long non-coding RNA, 274 nt
Filed under: Brassica rapa (field mustard)
Lineage: Eukaryota; Viridiplantae; Streptophyta; Magnoliopsida; Brassicales; Brassicaceae
Description: long non-coding RNA (BRAP_LNC003604)
Source: RNAcentral
GAAAACGGAGGUGACGCGGCUCCAGGCUCGGACGAGGCGACGGGUGAAGAGGGGGCGUGAGUUCUGAGGAUGACUUGGGUUAGAUCUCUUGCGAGAGAUUUGUUUUUAUGUUUUUAUGUUUCGGCCUUAAACGGCCUUAUUUCGUGUUUCGGGACUAGCCGCGUGUGGCUUUGAAUCCCUGCCGCUCUGCGGCUUUUUGUGAUGAGAUAAUCAAAUGGUACUUUUUUAUGAGUUAGUGUACAGUGGGAAGGAAGGUGAUGAGUUGUCGUCUCAU